AAGCAUGGUGAGGACAUUUUCUAAGCAUCUCCUUAAAUCUCUCCCAACUUACAUUAAUUCAUUAUCCUUUAAACUGGAUAUAAUAAGUGGUAUCAUUUCUAAGCUU
Molecule: small nucleolar RNA, 106 nt
Organism: Dendrobium catenatum
Lineage: Eukaryota; Viridiplantae; Streptophyta; Magnoliopsida; Asparagales; Orchidaceae
Source: RefSeq, a predicted model, not a curated record